AGGCUCGAAGACGAGGAGAUUGCAUCCUUCAUCCUUGCCGGCCUUGAUGCAGAGUACAAUCCCAUUGUCUCCUCUAUCACGGGCCGUGUGGAGAAGAUCUCGCUUGGCGAGCUCUAUACUCAACUUGUUAGCUGGGAGC
Molecule: small nucleolar RNA, 139 nt
Organism: Sorghum bicolor (sorghum)
Lineage: Eukaryota; Viridiplantae; Streptophyta; Magnoliopsida; Poales; Poaceae
Rfam family: Small nucleolar RNA Z247
About the family: Z247 is a member of the C/D class of snoRNA which contain the C (UGAUGA) and D (CUGA) box motifs. Most of the members of the box C/D family function in directing site-specific 2'-O-methylation of substrate RNAs.
Source: Rfam